GACUACAAAUGAAUUAAUUAUACCUGGGCGUUUGUCUCACCCCAACAUCGUACGGAUGAUUGCUGUAGCCAGAAGUGAGACACACGUCCUCAUUGCUAAUGAGUAUAUCCAUGGUGCCAACUUGCAGGAGGUUCUUCACAAAGACAUUCACAUCAAGUUGCAGGACGAGGAUAAGCUGUUUGUGGCUUUAGAUAUUGCCAUGGCUGUUGAGUACAUACAUGGAAAACCAAUCAUCCACCAAGAUCUGAAGCCAGCCAAUAUAAUGAUUGCAGCAGAAAACAAAAAGGCCUACUUGACUGAUUGGGGCAUGGCGAACCUGAAGGAAACGGUGACGAUGACGAGAGGAGACCAUCAAUCAGGGGCUUUGUGUGGCCCACUGGGAGGAACUUUCUCCUACAUGGCCCCAGAAUGCCUAGUAGAGUGUAAGAAAUGCAGCACCAUGUCAGACAUGUGGUCUCUUGGCAUCACUCUUCUGGAGAUGUUCACCAACUCUCAGGCCUGG
Molecule: long non-coding RNA, 502 nt
Organism: Clupea harengus (Atlantic herring)
Lineage: Eukaryota; Metazoa; Chordata; Actinopteri; Clupeiformes; Clupeidae
Source: Ensembl